UCCGAAUAAGCAAGUGUAGGUAGUGAGUGUGAGCUUUGCUGGGUACUUCUUUAAAAGUGGAUCUUGAAGUACCAACCAACUUGAUCUUGCUAAACAAGCCCCAAACAUGAAGAUGCAUCCUAAAGUCCAUUUGCUUAUUACAUCUGUUUGUUGUAGUGAUGAUGAAUUGAGGAGAAGUACAGGACCUUUGAAAAGAGUUAUGACAAUAGCUCCUACUAUUGUUGUUAAGGUUCCAACCAGUUUCCCCCAUCCAUAUCUUUCAGUCAGACUCACCUUCUCGAUCCUCAAUCCCACUGACAUGAUGAAAAUCAUCGCCGGAACGGUGUUGAGGAUGGCAGAAGAGAAGGUUGAUGAUAAGUAAGACAACCCCAGAAGAAAUAACCAUUGGUUCAAUGUAAUCCUACAAUCAAUCAACCAUCAACCAUGCAUCAACAAUGGUUUAAAUUAAUGGUUCUGACGAAAUUCAGUGCUUUAGCGAUGGUAUGAUCGUAUCCAAAACAAAAAAAAUAUAAAUAAUGAAUGAAUUAAUGGUGAUUGGAAUUGAAACUUACCCAAUCAGCGCGAUAAGAAAGAAUUGGAGCAGCAAUGAGAGUGUUAGAGGUGGUCUUUCUUUCCUGUUAGUGAUUAGUAGUGGUUAUUGAUCUAUCGAUCAUUUAGACAUUAAUCAUUGAUGAAUUAAAAAAAAAUGCAUAUAGUGAAACUUAACCUACUUUUCGAGAAAAUAUGCAAAAGGUGCCAAGAAUAAGAAACCAAUGAAGUUCCUGUAAGUUGAGAACACAAGUUUGCUUACAUCCGUCUUCAGUGAGAGAGCAGAUACCACAGACAUUCCUGCAGCACAAAUUUGGAGAACCAAAACUCCCAAAAGAAGCUUCAUCGUUCUUCCCGCUAGUUAUCCUCGAUCUCCGGCCUCUUCAGAUCUCCUCUCUUUUAACUGUAAGUUUUGCAAAUUAAUUGCUCUCCGCCUAUAUUAAAUUCCCAACUACAUGGUAGAGGACACUCUCCAUUUGAAUAGAUCCAUAUAAGCAAGUCAGUGAGUCUGAAAAUAUAUCAUGUUAAAAUAUAUGCAACUGGCUUGAAGAUAAAAAUAUAUCUCAGAUACAACAACUCUCUAUAUGAUCAUGGUAAUAAAAUAUAUGCAACUGGCUUGAAGAUAAAAAUAUAUCUCAGAUACAACAACUCUCUAUAUGAUCAUGGUAAUAAAAUAUAUUGUAUGAAAUCAUGAAAACUUCCACCAACGAAUCUCCUUUUGAUUUAAUCUCCCACAUCUCUUCUAGUGAUUCCAGAUUUGUCGGCCAAUUUGACAGAUCCAAGUAAGCAAAUGCAGACAUUGAAUGUGAGCUUUUCUUGGUACUUGUUCAACAGUAGAUCAUAAAAGACCAAUCAACUUGAUCUAAACAUGAAGAUGCAUCUCCAGACUCCAGAUCAAUUUUCUUAUCUCAUAUGGUAGGUAGGUAGAGUGAUGGUGACUGACUUAAUGUCAGCAGGGAUAACAAUCUAUAUGUUUUCCUUUAUCUAUAGUUAAUUAGCAGUGACAAACUUGAUAUUUGUUGAUUGAAUUUUGACUCUGUGAGAUUGCAAUAUUAUUCUCUAAGAUUAAUAGUAGUUAAACAUAAUGAUUAAGACCUUUAACACUUAAUAAAUAGGGUCAGUUUCAAGUGAGAUUCACUAUAAAUAUCUUUUGAGAAUCCAUAGACUAGGCAUUUCCCGAUGCCUGGCACUAGGAAUGGGCAUGUUUCGGGUUUGGUUCAGGUUUAUUCUCACCGGAACCUGAGUUUUGAAAUCGAGUUUGUAUCAAAAUCCGAAAACGUCUAAAAUUAUAGAACCUGAACCCGAUUUGGAAGUUAGGUUUGGUCGGGUUCAAUCGGACUUCGAGUCUAAUAAUUUUUUGAAAAGAAAUGCAUAAAAAAUCCUGUUAUUUAAAUAAUUUAAUCAAAUAAUUUUGAAAACCUUAAAUAAGAUAAAAUAUCAAAUAAUUUUUAAAUAAUUUUUUAAUGAAAGACUCAAAUGUGAAAAUGAAUCCGACAACGACAACAGCGAGGAGAUGGAAGAUGAAAAUGGAAAAGGAAAGAAAAAUGAUAAUAAUAUUAAAUGUCUAUAUUAAAUUUUUAUAAAAUAUUUUAUAUAAAAUGAAAUUUUCUUUAUAUUAAUUAUUUAUAUUUUAAGAUUUUUUAUAAAUUUCUUCGGAUUUCGGGUGAGUCGAGUUUGGUUGAGGUCUUACCCGAAUCCGACUCAAAAAAAUCAUGUAAAAAAAACUCGAAUUCGUAUCUUUCAUAUCUGGUUUUAUGAUCGACAAUAUCUACCUAACACUUUAUGCGAUACAACGAAUUCUCGUUAUUAUAUUAUAUAAUGUUAUAAUUACAUAAUAUUUUAUUUAAAAACAGGUGGUUUUGUGUUGCCUUGAUAUUAUGAGUCGAGCGAAUGACUCGUCUUUUCCUCACCCCUACUUUUUACUGGUCCCCUCAUUAAAGAUCAAAGUCUAUUUUAUAAUAUUAAUAAUUUAACAUAUAUACUAGUAGGGAUGCAAAAAAAAAAAUUGAUAUUCGACAAACUGUUUGAUUCGAUCCGGGUUCGAUCCGGUUAUUAAACGAACCAAACCUAAAUCUUAUGAAGCGAUCAACAUUCCUACACUCCAAAUCCAAUCAGCAUUUAAAGAAAAACUGAUCAAAGAUCAAACCAUCGAAGAACAACCAUAAGAGAUUUCAGUCAAUAACGUCAUCCGAAGGAGCAACCGUCGGAAGGAUUCUGUUGGUAUCAGGGACCGUCCAAACGGCCUCCUGACCAAACAGGUCCAUCAAGGCCCAGUAAGCCCAAGGGUUUAGGCUAUAAAUACCUCCCCUGGUUCAACAGGGAAGGGGAUCGAUUAUUAUAGUAAACACAAUAUUAGAGAGUUGUGUGUGUAAGCACCCUAGCGCGAGCCCACACACCAUCAGAUUCAAAUCAACAAAACGACUACAUAUAUUAUUAGAAAAAUAUAUCUUUAAUUAUCUCAUGUAUACGAUGUUGGAUUGAUAAGAUUCAUCAUCGUUGAAAGGAGGAAUGGAGAUGAGCUUGUGAGUCAUGUAGACGAUGGAUGUAAGGAAAAAAUAGAAAAUAAGUUUUGGGAAAUCAAAAGCUUGGUGAUGUCUCUUUAUUAAGUGUAUAUUUAUACGGUAAUUUUCAGGUACGCCGUACGUCGGUGUACCAAAAUACGUCGUUCGCAUCAUGUCCUUUAAUUUUUAAUCAAAUAUAGCUACAAUAAUGUACUGCAUAAAACAUUAACACAUUUACGAUAAAAAAAAUGUACAACAAAAGACACUAACUCAUGUACGACGAAAUGUCGGCCAAAUAGUCAGAAUUUUUUGGCGCAUUAAAAUUCGCACACAAGAAACUUACCCUAUAUUUAUAUACACUUAGAGUAACAAUCCACUUAUAUUGUAGUGGAGAUUGUUACCAUAAUAUUGGAAUAAUAGAAUAUAAGUGAUGAGGGUGGAACCUGACCAAUGUUCGGCGUCGCUUCGAACAAGCGCCAGAUGGGGAACUUUGCGGGGAAAUCAGGCCGGGACUCAGUUGCUCAAAGCUCAGCUUCGUUGGGACUUCUCCACUCUCAAUGAUUUGCCCAAAUGAGUGAGAGGUGCCUCAUAUUUAUAGGACUUUUUAUGGGGGGCAAUCUGAUCAUUUGGGCCAUAACCACCUAACUGACCAGAUCUGGUCCCUAAUCGACUUUUCCGGGAUCGACUUUCUUAAGGUCCGACUUUUCUAGAGUCUGACUUCCUGAGAAAGUCGAGUUCUAGGAAAGUCGACCUCUGAGGAAGUCGAUCUUCCCAGGUGUUGACUUGGGACCUCCCCAAACCUGGAAUAGGUGUUUCAGCUCAUCUUGGGUUAUCCGAACCUCUAGUUGCUGGUGCGUUGUGACCAAGUUCGGGAUAUUGUAUCACCAAUAAGUAUUAUACAGUUUGAUAAUUAUAAUAUUUGUAUUCCAAUACCUCCCCUCAAGAUGGCGUGGAUUGAUCAACAACGCCGAGCUUAGAUUUUAUCUCGAGAAAUCGUGAUGAGGGCAAUGGUUUUGUAAAACCAUCCGCGAUUUGAUCUCUCGUUAAUAUAUGUGUUACCUGUAUUGUUCCAUCUUGAACUAAUUCUCAUACAAAAUUGAAAUUGAGUGUCAUAUAUUUCAUCCUGGAGUGAAACACUGGAUUAUGUAUCAGAUAUUUUGCGCCUAGAUUAUAUGUCCAUAGUUGUGAGCAGGUAACCUGUAUUACUCAAAGUUCUUUUAAUAAAUUUUGUAUCCAUACAAUUUCCGAGGAAACAUCAGCCAGAAUACGAAACUCGGCUUCUGUAGACGAUCGUGCAACUGUAGGUUGUUUUUUGGCUGAUCAUGACUCUAAACUUUUCCCGAUAAAUAUUUCAAAACCUCUCGUACUUCAUCGAUCGUCUUGACAUCUUACCUAAUAUGUAUCGAUUCUGUAUAACCAUGAUGGAGUGAACAAAAUUCCAUGAUUGCUAGUACCUUGUAAAUAUCUCAACGCCUGUUUCGUUUCUGUCCAAUGUAGUGUGGUGGGGUUUGGGAGAUACUGAUACAAUUUGUUUAUCACAAACGAUAUAUCUGAUCGAGUGUUUACAAGAUACAAACAACUUAUCUUCGAAUGGUACUCCGUCAGUUGAAUUUAACUUCAUAGACGUUGACAUAGGUGUGGGUGCAGACUUGACCUUGUCCAUUUUUGUUCGACCCAAUAAGUCACACGUGUACCGAUGCUUAGAGAGGACAUACCCCCCAGUUGUACAAAUCAGUAUUUGUAUACAAAAUUCAGUUUAUAUACUUUAUUCAGUUUAUACAAAAUUCAGUUGUAUACCACAUAACUUAUCAAAAAAUAUUAUCUUUAAGAUACUCAAGAAAAUAGAUAUAUAUUAUUUUAACAGAUCUCCUCAUUUUCAUUCAGAAGUCUCUGGUUAAUAUCAUGUUCUUGGCUGGUCUGAUCAUUAGAUAUUUCAUUUUGAUUAUUCUCCCCACUUCUACCUCAUAGCACCAUGUAAAGUCCAAUCACAAUGAUCAAACCGCCAAUAAUCCUGUGAAAAUUUAACUCAAUUAACUAAAAUCACUUCCUUGUUUCCUGUUAUAUAUAAUUUUUAAUCAGCUUACCCUCCAGAAUAUAGUUUGUCCCCAAGUAAAAAGAAACCCAAAACAGCAGUUGCCAUGGUUUUGACCGGAUCGAAAAUCCCGACAAAGAAUGGUCCUCCGCCAUUAAUGCACCAUGCUUGAAGAGGAAAACACAUCCCUGAUACAAUAACUCCCUACAUAUUAUAUAAAAUCAUGAACAUGAUUGAUCUCUAUUAUUAUAACGAUCGUCGCCGUCAUAUAUAUUGGAAGCUCACAUUAUAGAGCAAAGCUAACAACACUCCUCUUGAUUCAAACUUCCACAUCUCGACGUCUCUCUCAGUGAUUGCCGAGAUGGCCGCCAAUUGGAUUGAUCCGAAUAAGCAAGUGUAGGAAGUGAGUGUGAGCUUUGCUGGGUACUUCUUUAAAAGUGGAUCUUGAAGUACCAACCAACUUGAUCUUGCUAGACAAGCCCCAAACAUGAAGGUGCAUCCUAAAGUCCAUUUGCUUAUCAUAUCUUUUUGUGGCAGUGAUGAUGAAUUGAGGAGAAGUACAGGACCUUUGAAAAGAGUUAUGACAAUAGAUCCUGCCAUUGUUGUUAAGGUUCCAACCAGUUUCCCCCAUCCAUAUCUGUCAGUCAGACUCACCUUCUCGAUCCUCAAUCCCACUGACAUGAUGAAAAUCAUCGCCGGAGCGGUGUUGAGGAUGGCAGAAGAGAAGGUUGAUGAUAUAUAAGACAGUCCCAGAAGAAAUAACCAUUUGUUCAAUGUAAUCCUACAAUCAAUCAACCAUCAAUCAUGCAUCAACAAUGCGUUUAAAUUAAUACUGCGGGGUUCUGACGAAAUUCAGUGCUUUAGUGAUGGUAUGAUCGUAUCCAAAACAAAAAAAAUAUAAAUACUGAAUGAAUGGUGAUUGGAAUUGAAACUUACCCAAUCAGCGCGAUAAGAAAGAAUUGGAGCAGCAAUGAGUGUUAGAGGUGGUCUUUCUUCCAUGUUAGUGAUUAGUAGUGGUUAGUGAUUAGUAGUGGUUAUUGAUCGAUCGAUCAUUUGAAAUUAAUCAAUGAUGAAUUAAAGAAAAUCUGCAUAUAGUGAAACUUAGCCUACUUUUCGAGAAAAUAUGUAAAGGGUGCCAAGAAUAAGAAACCAAUGGAGUUCUUGUAAGUUGAGAAUACAAGUUUGCUUACAUCUGUCUUCAGAGAGAGAGAGCUGACACCACAGACAUUCCUGCAGCACAAAUUUGAAGAACCAAAACUCCCAAAAGAAGCUUCUUCAUCGAUCUUUCGGCAAGUUAUCCUCGAUGUCCUCUUCCUGUGAUUAGCAAGUCAUCUACGUAUGCUAGUAUAAAUAUCUUGCUUGUUUCAUUUAUUUUCAUGAAUAGUACAUAGUCUGACUUGGUUUGUUUAAAUCCCACUUGUAAUGCCACUUGUAAUAUCACUUGCUAUUUUAAUUUAAUAGAUAUAUCAUAGAUAUAUUUACACAUAAAAAAAACUAAGAUUUAAACAGACCAAGUCAGACUAUGUACUAUUCAUGAAAAUAAAUGAAACAAACAAGAUAUUUAUACUAGCAUACAUAGAUGACUUGCUAAUCACAGAAAAUAAUCUAAAAGAAAUAAUACAACUAAAGAAAGAAUUAACUAGCAAUUUUUUUUACCAUAAAAAACUUAGGAAAAUUAAAAUAUUUUCUAGGAUUAGAAUUCACAACAAAACAAUGAUUAUAUAUGAGUCAAAGAAAAUAUGCAACUGAAAUCUAGAACAACCUAAUUAUGUACAUGCAAAACCAGGAGAGUAUCCAUUAUAUACUAGUUCUAGUCAUAAUUCCAAACAGAAUCAAAAGGAAGAAAUUCUUGAAGAUCCUACUGUAUACAGGAAAAUAGUUGGAAAACUCGUAUAUUUAACAGUCACAAGACCAGAUAUCAUGCAUGCAGUUAACUGUCUAAGUCAACAUAUGGCAAGGCCUACAAAUGAAGAUACAAGAAAAGUCAACAAAGUACUGAGAUACAUAAAAAGCUCACCGGGUCGUGGACUCUUCUUUUCAUCAGUAUCGCACACCUCCUGGAUCAAGGCUUUUUCAUACUCAGAUUGGGCUGCUUGUCCAACCACGCGAAGAUCGACGACAGGGUUCGCCAUAUUCCUUAAUGAAAACCUGAUUUCAUGGCAAACCAAAAAGUAACACAGGAUUGCAAGAUCAUCAACAGAAGCAGAAUACCGAGCUCUAGCAUACACGACUUGUGAAAUAACAUGGCUACGACAUCUACUAGAAGAACUAAAAAUAAAUGUACCUGCAACAACGACACUCUUAACAGAUAGCUCCUCAGCUGCUGCAAUCACAAACAACCUAGUUCUUCAUCAAAGAACAAAACAUAUAGAGAUUGACAUACACACAAUAAGAGAUAAGGUGUUUAUAAAGGAGAUAAAAAUAAACAAGGUAAAUACGAAAGAAAAUGUUGCAGACAUAUUUACCAAAGAGGUCACCGACACACUCUUCAGAACUCUUCGUGACAAACUCAGAAUAGAAGAUCUGCAUGCAAGCGCAAAAGAUUAAAGAAGGAAAUAGAAGUAGAAUGAGAAGCUAACUACUAUCAGCGGAGUCACCUUUCUGAAUCCGAUGAUCGUUUUCCAAGCUUCCCACUUUUUUUUCAACUUUUCGCGCAAGAAUAGAGAAACCCCUAGUUACGAACAAGAAGCCAAAGUCACAAUACAAAUAUUCUCUUUUUAUACAAACAGUUGGGCCUACCUUCAAUCCAAAAUUUAAGAUCUCCAAACCAAAGUUUUGUAAAUCAAUUGCUCCCCGUCAAUUAAAUUCCAACUACAUCGUCAGUGAGUGUGAGGUUUGCUAGGUACUUCUUCGACAGUGGGUCAUGGCAGACCAAUCAAACAUGACGAUGCGAUCUCUAUUUGUUUAUCAAAUUAUUAGGUAGAUUGAUGGUGGUGAUUUAAUAAAUAUUUGUCUCAUUGGAAUUAAAAAAUGUUAUCUUUAAAAUAUUUAAGAAACUAUAGUAAGAUUGUUUUGAAUGGUUAAUUUCUAGUAGAGGUGAGCUUGGGUCGGGUCAAAUACGAGCCCGACCUGAACAUAUUUAUUCUAAAAGGAUCAUAUCCGGUUGCAACACACGGUUUAUUUAUUUGUCUAUGUUGAUGACAUCGUCAUUAAUUUCUGGAUCAAAUGACGAUAUUGUUGAAACAAUCAUCGUGAAGCUAAGUAAUGAAUUUUGAUUUACGCUGCUUGGCGAAUCUAUCUUUCUUUCUUGGACUUCAGGUAACAUCGGUUGGUCUUGGGUUGCAUUUGAAUCAGGCUCAAUAUCUCAGCAACUUGCUCAAGAGUUGUGAUCUGGUAAACUUGAAGCCUUCUAUCACGCCUAUGGUCAAGAAUCAAGAUCUUCACUCAGUAGAAGAACCCAUCAAAGAGGAAAAAGAAUAUCUACGAAUUAUCGGAUCAUUAUAAUAUCUGAUACUAGCUCGUCCGGACAUUCAAUUUGCGUUCAAUAAGUUAUCACAAUUUAUGUCGACUCCAAAACCUCUUCAUUGGGUUGCAAUGAAGAAGAUGUUGCAGUAUCUCUCUAGGACACAACAGCUUGGAAUUCUACUUACAAAUGUAUCACAUUUUUUUCUUUCUAGUUUUUGUGAUGCCGAUUGGGGGGGGGGUGAUACUAUUGAUUGCAAGAGUCAGAGAGGGUACUUGAUCUAUCUUGGUGAGUCGUUAGUUGCGUGGAGCUCUCGGAAACAGGAUAUCGUCGCUCAUUCAAGCACAUAAUCUGAAUAUAGGACUAUUUCUACCACUAUCACGGAAUUGGAGUGGAUGAAGAACCUGUUGAAGGAGUUAGGGGUUGACACUAAAGGUCCAAUGCAACUCAAAUCUGACAAUUUGGGGGCUACGUUUCUCGCGUCUAAUUCAGCUUAUCAUACAAGAUUAAAGCAUGUUGCAGUAGAUCUUAAAUAUGUCAGAGAACGAGUUGAAGCAGGGUCUGUUAAUGUUACUCAUGUUCCUGGGAGGCUACAACAAGCAGAUGUGCUAACAAAGGCUUUGGAUCCUAAAUCGUUUGCUGAGCAAAGAUCCAAUCUUGUGAGUAAACGAUCCCAAGAUUGAGGGGGUGUAUUAUCUUAAACGAUUUGCUGUCAAUUACAUAGCAGCUAUUACACGUUACAUAUCAAUAAAAUCCUAACCCUAUUGUAAUUUAGGUCAAGAUUUUAUUGACCGUCCUUUUUUGUAUAUAGUAACUCCAACGUUACAUUUGUAUAGUUUAAAUAGCAAUGUAUGCAUGAAUAAAACUCACAUUCAUUUUCCUGAAAAUACAUCUUUCAUAAAAUAUAAUAAAACUAGAUAUAUAUCAUUUUAACAGAUCUCCUCAUCUUCAUUCAGAAGUCUCUGGUUAAUAUCAUGUUCUUGGCUGGUCUGAUCAUUAGAUAUUUCAGUUUGAUUAUUCUCCCCACUUCUACCCCAUAGCACCAUGUAAAGUCCAAUCACAAUGAUCAAACCGCCAAUAAUCCUGUGAAAAUUUAACUCAAUUAACUAAAAUCACUUCCUUGUUUCCUGUUAUAUAUAAUUUUUAAUCAGCUUACCCUCCAGAAUAUAGUUUGUCCCCAAGUAAAAAGAAACCCAAAACAGCAGUUGCCAUGGUUUUGACCGGAUCGAAAAUCCCGACAAAGAAUGGUCCUCCGCCAUUAAUGCACCAUGCUUGAAGAGGAAAACACAUCCCUGAUACAAUAACUCCCUACAUAUUGUAUAAAAUCAUGAACAUGAUCGAUCUCUAUUAUUAUAACGAUCGUCACCGUUAUAUAUAUUGGAAGCUCACAUUAUAGAGCAAAGCUAACAACACUCCUCUUGAUUCAAUCUUCCACAUCUCGACGUCUCUCUCAGUGAUUGCCGAGAUGGCCGCCAAUUGGAUUUAUCCGAAUAAGCAAGUGUAGGCAGUGAGUGUGAGCUUUGCUGGGUACUUCUUUAAAAGUGGAUCUUGAAGUACCAACCAACUUGAUCUUGCUAGACAAGCCCCAAACAUGAAGAUGCAUCCUAAAGUCCAUUUGCUUAUCAUAUCUAUUUGUGGCAGUGAUGAUGAAUUGAGGAGAAGUACAGGACCUUUGAAAAGAGUUAUGACAAUAGCUCCUGCCAUUGUUGUUAAG
Molecule: long non-coding RNA, 10178 nt
Filed under: Zostera marina
Lineage: Eukaryota; Viridiplantae; Streptophyta; Magnoliopsida; Alismatales; Zosteraceae
Description: long non-coding RNA (ZMAR_LNC005420)
Source: RNAcentral